RNAcentral lists this non-coding RNA (31 nucleotides) under Mus musculus (house mouse). Lineage: Eukaryota; Metazoa; Chordata; Mammalia; Rodentia; Muridae. The record is from RNAcentral.
UCCACAGUACCUUGUAAACAUACAGAUGAAA